GACGAACGCUGGCGGCGUGCCUAAUACAUGCAAGUCGAGCGGACUUUCAAGAAGCUUGCUUUUUGAAAGUUAGCGGCGGACGGGUGAGUAACACGUGGGCAACCUGCCUGCAAGACGGGGAUAACUCCGGGAAACCGGGGCUAAUACCGGAUAAUAUCUUCCUUCGCAUGAAGGAAGGUUGAAAGGCGGCGCAAGCUGCCGCUUGCAGAUGGGCCCGCGGCGCAUUAGCUAGUUGGUGAGGUAACGGCUCACCAAGGCGACGAUGCGUAGCCGACCUGAGAGGGUGAUCGGACACACUGGGACUGAGACACGGCCCAGACUCCUACGGGAGGCAGCAGUAGGGAAUCUUCCGCAAUGGACGAAAGUCUGACGGAGCAACGCCGCGUGAGCGAAGAAGGUCUUCGGAUCGUAAAGCUCUGUUGUCAGGGAAGAACAAGUACCGUUCGAACAGGGCGGUACCUUGACGGUACCUGACCAGAAAGCCACGGCUAACUACGUG
RNAcentral lists this ribosomal RNA (499 nucleotides) under uncultured bacterium. RNAcentral's name for it is "partial 16S ribosomal RNA". It matches the Rfam family "Bacterial small subunit ribosomal RNA", at positions 28 to 507 of the family's 1533-position model. The record is from RNAcentral.